UAGGGAAUCUUCGGCAAUGGGGGCAACCCUGACCGAGCAACGCCGCGUGAGUGAAGAAGGUUUUCGGAUCGUAAAGCUCUGUUGUAAGAGAAGAACGUGUGUGAGAGUGGAAAGUUCACACAGUGACGGUAACUUACCAGAAAGGGACGGCUAACUACGUGCCAGCAGCCGCGGUAAUACGUAGGUCCCGAGCGUUGUCCGGAUUUAUUGGGCGUGAAGCGAGCGCAGGCGGUUUAAUAAGUCUGAAGUUAAAGGCAGUGGCUUAACCAUUGUUCGCUUUGGAAACUGUUAAACUUGAGUGCAGAAGGGGAGAGUGGAAUUCCAUGUGUAGCGGUGAAAUGCGUAGAUAUAUGGAGGAACACCGGUGGCGAAAGCGGCUCUCUGGUCUGUAACUGACGCUGAGGCUCGAAAGCGUGGGGAGCAAACAGG
RNAcentral lists this ribosomal RNA (429 nucleotides) under bacterium. Its description in RNAcentral is "partial 16S ribosomal RNA". It matches the Rfam family "Bacterial small subunit ribosomal RNA", at positions 355 to 776 of the family's 1533-position model. The record is from RNAcentral.